GAUGAACGCUAGCUAUAGGCUUAACACAUGCAAGUCGAGGGGAAACGGCAUUAUGUGCUUGCACAUUUUGGACGUCGACCGGCGCACGGGUGAGUAUCGCGUAUCCAACCUGCCCUUUACUUGGGGAUACCCCGUUGAAAGACGGCCUAAUACCCGAUGAAAUUCAUUGAUGGCAUCAGAUAUGAAUAAAAGAUUUAUCGGUAAAGGAUGGGGAUGCGUCUGAUUAGCUUGUUGGUGAGGUAACGGCUCACCAAGGCGACGAUCAGUAGGGGUUCUGAGAGGAAGGUCCCCCACAUUGGAACUGAGACACGGUCCAAACUCCUACGGGAGGCAGCAGUGAGGAAUAUUGGUCAAUGGGCGCAAGCCUGAACCAGCCAAGUAGCGUGCAGGAAGACGGCCCUAUGGGUGGUAAACUGCUUUUAUACGAGAAUAAUUUGAUGCACGUGUGCGUUAUUGCAUGUAUCGUAUGAAUAAGGACCGGCUAAUUCCGUG
RNAcentral lists this ribosomal RNA (492 nucleotides) under uncultured bacterium. RNAcentral describes it as "partial 16S ribosomal RNA". It matches the Rfam family "Bacterial small subunit ribosomal RNA", at positions 28 to 507 of the family's 1533-position model. The record is from RNAcentral.